Molecule: ribosomal RNA, 1287 nt
Filed under: metagenome
Description: bacterial SSU rRNA
Rfam family: Bacterial small subunit ribosomal RNA
Source: RNAcentral
UAGCUAGUUGGUGAGGUAACGGCUUACCAAGGCGACGAUCUGUAGCGGGUCUGAGAGGAUGAUCCGCCACACUGGAACUGAGACACGGUCCAGACUCCUACGGGAGGCAGCAGUGGGGAAUUUUGGACAAUGGGGGCAACCCUGAUCCAGCCAUGCCGCGUGAGUGAAGAAGGCCUUCGGGUUGUAAAGCUCUUUCGGCCGGGAAGAAAUCGCAUGGGCCAAUACCCUGUGUGGAUGACGGUACCGGAAUAAGAAGCACCGGCUAACUACGUGCCAGCAGCCGCGGUAAUACGUAGGGUGCGAGCGUUAAUCGGAAUUACUGGGCGUAAAGCGUGCGCAGGCGGUUUUGUAAGACAGGCGUGAAAUCCCCGGGCUCAACCUGGGAACUGCGUUUGUGACUGCAAGGCUAGAGUACGGCAGAGGGGGGUGGAAUUCCACGUGUAGCAGUGAAAUGCGUAGAGAUGUGGAGGAACACCAAUGGUGAAGGCAGCCCCCUGGGUCGAUACUGACGCUCAUGCACGAAAGCGUGGGUAGCAAACAGGAUUAGAUACCCUGGUAGUCCACGCCCUAAACUAUGUCAACUAGGUGUUGGGUGGGUAAAACCAUUUAGUACCGUAGCUAACGCGUGAAGUUGACCGCCUGGGGAGUACGGCCGCAAGGUUAAAACUCAAAGGAAUUGACGGGGACCCGCACAAGCGGUGGAUGAUGUGGAUUAAUUCGAUGCAACGCGAAAAACCUUACCUACCCUUGACAUGCCAGGAACUUGCCAGAGAUGGCUUGGUGCCCGAAAGGGAGCCUGGACACAGGUGCUGCAUGGCUGUCGUCAGCUCGUGUCGUGAGAUGUUGGGUUAAGUCCCGCAACGAGCGCAACCCUUGUCGUUAAUUGCCAUCAUUUAGUUGGGCACUUUAGCGAGACUGCCGGUGACAAACCGGAGGAAGGUGGGGAUGACGUCAAGUCCUCAUGGCCCUUAUGGGUAGGGCUUCACACGUCAUACAAUGGUCGGUACAAAGGGUCGCCAAGCCGCGAGGUGGAGCCAAUCCCAGAAAGCCGAUCGUAGUCCGGAUUGCAGGCUGCAACUCGCCUGCAUGAAGUCGGAAUCGCUAGUAAUCGUGGAUCAGCAUGUCACGGUGAAUACGUUCCCGGGUCUUGUACGCACCGCCCGUCACACCAUGGGAGCGGGUUCCGCCAGAAGUAGGUAGCCUAACCGCAAGGAGGGCGCUUACCACGGCGGGGUUCGUGACUGGGGUGAAGUCGUAACAAGGUAGCCGUAGGGGAACCUGCGGCUG